UACGGAGGGUGCAAGCGUUAUCCGGAAUCAUUGGGUUUAAAGGGUCCGCAGGCGGGAUUAUAAGUCAGUGGUGAAAGCCGGCAGCUUAACUGUCGAACUGCCAUUGAUACUGUAGUCCUUGAAUUCGGUCGGAGUGGGCGGAAUAUGUCAUGUAGCGGUGAAAUGCUUAGAUAUGACAUAGAACACCGAUAGCGAAGGCAGCUCACUAGACCUGGAUUGACGCUCAUGGACGAAAGCGUGGGGAGCAAAC
Molecule: ribosomal RNA, 250 nt
Filed under: uncultured bacterium
Lineage: Bacteria
Description: partial 16S ribosomal RNA
Rfam family: Bacterial small subunit ribosomal RNA
Source: RNAcentral